GAUCACGAGUUAAGGUUCCUAAAUAACCGUUUAGUGAUAAAAGAGGUAAGGGUGCAUAGACAAUCAGAAGGUUUGCCUAAAGCAGUCAUCCUUAAAAGAGUGUGUAAUAACUUAAUAAUCGAACAUUCUUGUGUAAAAUAUAAACGAAACUAAACGAUCUGUCGAAGCUGUGAUUGUCAAAUUUUAAUCGAGAG
Molecule: non-coding RNA, 194 nt
Filed under: Phaseolus vulgaris (common bean)
Lineage: Eukaryota; Viridiplantae; Streptophyta; Magnoliopsida; Fabales; Fabaceae
Description: Bacterial large subunit ribosomal RNA
Rfam family: Bacterial large subunit ribosomal RNA
Source: Rfam by way of RNAcentral